UUAAUUAUCAGAGCUUUAAUUAAGUUAAGAUCAUCACGAAAUGAGUCUGUUUUAUGCAGAUUGUUCAUUCCAUUGACAAGCUGGGGAUAUGGCAUCGUCUACCUGUUUUCUUAGGGCUAUUGUAUCUGGCUAUCAGACGUCACCUUCACCAAGAGUACAACCUCUUCAACGUUGGAACAACACCAACUGGGAUUAGGUUCAACCAUUCAGAUUUUCCAUACAGAACAGCUGAUGGAAAAUAUAAUGAUCNUUUCAAUGAAGUUGCUGGCAGCCAAGGAACUUUCUUUGGCAGAAACAUGCUUCCUGUUGAUCAGAAGAAAAAGGUCAACAAUCAUAGCUAGUUAUAAUAAUUUCAUAAAAUAUCAGUGUUUUUACUGCUAUAGUUUGUUGACUUGUUCUUAUAUGAUUUUGAUCCUUUGAGGAUAGUGAAUUUUGAAGGCAUAGUUUUGUGUGUGUGCAGCUAUUGAAGCCUGAUCCAAUGGUGGUAGCAACAAAACUACUAGCUAGAAGGACAUAUAAGGACACAGGGAAGCAAUUCAACGUGAUUGCAGCUUCUUGGAUUCAGUUCAUGAUUCACGAUUGGAUCGAUCAUCUUGAGGAUACCAAACAGGUCAAUCAAUUUCUAAAACCAUGAUGAUGUUUUUUAUUGUGAUAAUAAGAAGGUAUUUAAUUUAAUUUGUUCAUGAAAUUUUGAUACAUAUUUACAUACAUAUAUAUGCAGAUUGAACUGACUGCACCAAAAGAAGUUGCAGGCCAAUGCCCUCUAAAAUCUUUCAAAUUCUUCAAAACUAAGGAAAUUCCCACUGGAUUCUAUGAGAUAAAAACGGGAUCAUCGAACAUUCGAACACCAUGGUGGUAAGAUUUCUACUGCAGUUUACCUCAGCCAAAAGUUAAAGGUUAAUGUUGAUAAGUUUAUUAUUCCUACUUCUUAUACUGAGUUUAUGACUAACAUAAUUUCAGAAAAAACAGUUUUUAAACGAGGAGCAUAUCUCACUUAUAUAUUAUAAAAGUUUUCGAUAUGUACUAAGUAAUGAUACUGACAGAAAAUUAUAAUUUGAAAAAGGAAAGAAAAGAUAACUUAGAUGAAAAAAAUGGCGGCGUAUAUGCAUGUAGAAAAUUCAAUGCGUGGGGGCACGAUAGCGUUUACAUCUAACAAAAUGGCGGCGAAAGAUAUAAGAUAUGUGAUUUGGUUUGAUUUAGGUUGACCUACCUACAUAUUUUUGGCAAUGGGACAUUAUUUUACUAUUUUUGACCGAAGUGUUGCCAAGAUCGGAGUGAAUCUUAACGAGAAUCAAUAAUCUUUCUAAAAUUUUUAAAAAUAAAAAUUCAUGAAAAUUAAAUUAGGUAAAUUUUUAUUUCUUUUAUAAAUUAUGUAAUAAUAAAAUAUAAAAUCAAAUAUAAUAAAUAAUAAAAUUAUUAAGAUUUUUUUUUUUUUAAUUUUCUCUUACCUUUACCUGUUGGUGUUCAUUUCCCACCCUCUCAUGCUUACUUUUUAUCAUAAAGGAAAAAAAAACAGGUUAAAAUUCAUUAUUCUAAAUUAUGGAUUUUUGUUAUGUUUGUAAUAUUCAUCAAAUAUAUAAAUUUUCGUAUAUACCUAAGAAAAACUCGUCGAGUUAAGUCAGAACAAAAUAUAUUUUGAAAUAAAAGAAUGAGUAUAAGAGUGAGUAUGAUUUUUUUUUUUUAAAUAUCAUAUCUUUAUAAAAUUAUUUGAACUUUAGGAUUCAUGUCAUAAAAAUAUAAUGAUAUAAUAAAUUAUAUACCAACAAAAUAAAAACUUAUCUUAAAUAAAUAAUAUUAAUAAUAAUAAUAUGAGAUCUUAUCAAUAAUAAUAUUCAAAUCUACUAGAUUUGUCAUGAUUAUAAGAAAUAUUAGUUUUAGUAAAAGUAAUAUCACACUCAUAUUUAUUUGACACAUUUAAUUUGAGUAAAUUGAUCUUAAAAAAGUGAAUUUUUGUAAUUUAAAAAAAAAUAAAAAUAAAAGGUAAGAAAAAGUAGUAUGAAAUGAAUGUAAAAAAAUUAUGUAGGUUAAAGUAUAUUGGACUAAUGUAAAAGUUAAAAGUAGCUGAUAUGAAAGUUAUUGGUAUAUAGUCUCUGAGAGAAGAUGUUUAAGUUGCAUGGAUUUGGUUGGUGAAAUAGGGAUGCAAGUGCUGUGUAUGGAAGCAAUGGAGAAGUUUUACAGAAAGUGAGGACUUUCAAAGAUGGAAAGCUAAAUAUAUCAAAGGAUGGAAACCUUCUGCAUAACGAAAAUGGAACAGCAGUUGCAGGUGACAUCCGCAACAGUUGGGCUGGUGUUUCAACUCUGCAAUCCCUUUUCAUUCAAGAACACAAUGCAGUUUGUGAUUCUCUCAAGGUAUAAUAUUCAUAAAUUAUAUCAUGGAAAAAACAGUAACCAAUCUUAUUUUAAAAACAAACUCAUCAAUUAAAAGAAAAUACUAACAAAAUACCUGUUUUUAAUUGUACUGUUUCAGAAAUAUUACCCUCAUUUGAAUGAUGAAGAACUUUAUCGCCAUGCAAGAUUGGUGAUUUCAGCUGUGAUUGCAAAGGUUCACACCAUUGAUUGGACUGUGGAGCUUCUUAAAACUGAUACUCUACAUGCAGGAAUGCGUGCCAACUGGUAAGCUUCUCGGCACCACACAAUUUUCUGACACAUUUUACAUUAAAAAAUUUAUCUACUGCCUUUUUUUUUUUUCAUUUAUAUUCAAAAUGUAAAAUGAAGUGUUAUUUAUUUCUAUUUAUUUUUUGAAAUUAUUGUUUAAUUUUCAGGUAUGGACUAUUGGGGAAGAAGUUUAAGGAUACAUUUGGACAUGUUGGUGGGUCCAUCUUGGGAGGAUUUGUUGGUAUGAAGAAGCCAGAAAAUCAUGGUGUCACAUACUCUUUAACAGAAGAAUUUGCGAGUGUCUACAGAAUGCACCCACUCCUACCUGAUAACCUGCAUCUGAGAGACCUAUCUGCAACUCCUGGGCCAAACAAAUCUCUACCAGUAAUCAAAGAGUAUGAUAAUAAAAUCUUACCUAAACCUUUCUUUUCCCAAAGACAUUACUACAUAUGUUUCUAUUUAUAGUUUAUAAGAAUUGAUAUUGAACUCUUCAAUAACUUAUAUUGUUUUUAAGAAUUGUUCUUAUUUUUAAGAUUGAUAUAUAAAGUUAGAUUAUCUCAAUAAUUUGAAGCAUUUUUCAUUAUCUUUUACCAAAAUUCCAUUUGGUAUUGUAGAAUUCCUAUGAAAAGCUUGAUUGGACUACCAGGAGAGAAGACAUUAUCAGAAAUAGGAGUUGCAAGACAACUUGUGUCAAUGGGUCACCAAGCUUGUGGAGCAUUAGAGCUUUGGAAUUAUCCAGAGUGGCUAAGAGACCUUGUACCACAGAACAUUGAUGGCACAGAAAGGUCUGAACAUGUGGACCUGGCUGCUCUUGAAAGUAAGAUAUAGACAUACAUAUAUAUAUGUAAAAGUUUAUGUAUAGUUUUAAUAUUAAGAUAUAAACGUUAUCUAGUUAUUAACCCUAAAAUUAUGAUGCAGUUUACAGGGAUAGGGAAAGGAAUGUGGCUAGAUACAACCAGUUUAGGAGGUCAUUACUGUUAAUACCUAUCUCAAAGUGGGAAGAUCUAACUGAUGAUAAGGAAGCAAUUAAAGUAUUGGAAGAAGUAUAUGGAGAUGAUGUUGAAGAACUUGAUCUACUUGUAGGUCUCAUGGCAGAGAAGAAAAUAAAGGGUUUUGCAAUCAGUGAGACAGCUUUUGUGAUAUUCCUCCUCAUGGCAUGCAGGUAAAAGGAAUAACAUUAAAAUACCAAAUAUGUCUGUUAUAAAAUGUUUCUUUGUUCUAAAGGAUUCAUUGUGUGUUUUUAAGUGUAACUUUUGGACUUUGUUUUGUGAAGUGAUUUUGAAAGGGAGAUUAAUUGUAACAAUGAAUGAAACUGUUUUUGUGGAAUUGCAGGAGGCUGGAAGCUGAUAGGUUCUUCACAAGCAACUAUAAUGAAGAAACAUACACUAAAAAGGGACUUGAAUGGGUGAACACAACUGAGAGUUUGAAAGAUGUGAUUGAUCGUCACUAUCCUGAAAUGACACACAAAUGGUUGAACUCUUCUAGUGCUUUCUCUGUUUGGGAUUCACUUCCAAACUCACCCAAUCAUGUUCCUCUUUACCUUCGUGUUCCUCAUUAAUAUGUAAUUUCGAUAUUUAUGUGUUUUAUUUGGAUCUAUCUUUUGUUAAGUUUGAAUUAAUAUGUAUAUUUUUAUCUUGUAAAACACUAUGUUUCGAUCUAUAUGUAUUCAGUCUUAAAUGUAUUUGAGUUUGAGUGAAUACUAUAGUUUGUUUGUAUCUUAAAAUUUUCAAGGAAGAAAUAAAAGUGUAUGUAGUUAUGUAUUUUUAAAGCAUGUUUGUUAAAUUCUAGUCUAUCUUAAACUUCUUGUAAUUUGAUUAAAUAAUAUUCUUUGUCGAUUAUUUUUGUUUAGAUAACUAGAUUCAUAUUUUUAAAUAGAACUAUUCUAGUCUAUUAUAUAACUAUGAGCACAGACCCUUAGGGAAAAUCCAUAAAUGCACAUUUUGAAAAUAUGACAGACGUGAUCUCAUUUAGUUUUCUUGUUAUUACUGAGUGCUACCCUUAGAAAAUUUUCAAUACUGUCCACUGUGUGUGGUUGACACCUGUUUUAGACCAUGAUAUUUUUGUUAUUUGUACUAUAUUGAUUUGAAAACAUAACUAUGAAAAUAAAACCCUUAGGGAAAAUCCAUAAAUUUCCCCACUGAUAAUUUGACAGUUGCUACUUUAUUUGGUUUUUUUUGUCAUUUAUUACCCUUACGAAAAUUCCAAAAUUGUUUAUUGUGCUUGGUUAACACUUAUUCUAAAGGACAAUGAUAUUUUGAUAACUCUUUUUUGACAACUUUUUGACAACAGGUGUCAUCAUUUUAUUGGUCUGUUUAAAUUUAUGUUUAAAAAAAUAUUUGAAACGGACCAAUCAUAGACUGCCACGUAUGUAUUGUCAAAAAAGAAUUGUUAAAGAGACUUUUUCCUAUUCUAAAUCAUGACUUUUUUGUCUUGCACUGUACUCAUUUGACAUUUAUCAGCUUUUGAAAAGUUGAACACAUAACAUGUUAUUUUAUUGGAAAAUGAUAUUUUAACACCAUUUUUUGACACUAUUUUGACACUGCACACGUGUCAAAAUGUGAUUGGACGAUUUCAAAUGAAAAAAACAAACUUUGGUUUUUCUCUUUCAAAUAUAUCCCUAUUUCAACUUUUUUAAUUGAAAUCGUCCAAUCACAUUUUGACACGUGUGCAGUGUCAAAAUGGUGUCAAAAAAUUGUGUUAAAAUAUCAUUUUCCUAUUUUAUUCAACCCUCUUCACAGCUCAGUUUGGAGGAGUCGUGUAAGGGUUUAGUUGGUGUAUUAAAUAGUGCUAAAUCAGUUUUAACAUGAAAACUUGGAGUCUGGAUAAUUUAUUGGUGCAGUAUUGUGUUUUAAAGCUUGAAACUGAGUUAUUAGACUAUGGAUAGUUUGGGUGUAACGAGUUGUUAGAUAAUGGUUCGUUUAGAGAUGUAAUUGAAUUGUUAGUGUUAAAAAUACAUAGCGAAUGUUUAAAUUAUAGACAAAAUCAAGAAGGAGUCUGGGAAGUUAGAUCAUCUAGAACCUUAGAUUGUAUAGGAUGUUAGAUCAUCAGGAGUGUUAGAUAUCCUCAUGAGAACUAAACGGUCCUUAGGUGUUAAACACUUCUUGGAUGUUAGACCGUUUGGGUGUUAAAAUGUCUCGGAUGUUAGACCGUUUGAGGUGUUAGAUCAUUGAGGAUGUUAGACGGUGAGGUGUGUUAGACGAUUUGGGAUGUUAGUCUAUUACAAGUGUUUGGGUUUUAUAAGGUAUGAGGUGUUAGACCCGAGGUGUUAGGAUGUUAGAUAGUCUAGGGUAUAAGAUCAUCUAGGGUGUUAAAUGUGUUUAAGGUGUUAAAAGGGUCUGGAGUGUUAGAUGCGUUUAGCAUAACAGAUAAGGAAAAAGUCUCUUUACCAACUCUUUUUUGACAAUUUUUUGACAACGCAUACGUGGCAGUUUGUGAUUGGUCCAUUUCAAAUAUAUUUUUAGAAUAAAUUCAAACAGACCAAUAGAAUUGUGACACGUGUCCUGUUGUCAAAAAGUUGUUAAAAAAGAGUUGUUAAAAUAUCAUUGUCCAACAGAUAAUUUGGGGUGUCAGACACGUCUCGGGUGUUAGAUCGUUUGGAGUGUUAAAACAUUAUUUUUUUUUAAUUUAAAAUCGUCCAAUCACAUUUUGACACGUGUACAAUAUCAAAAUGGUGUCAAAAAAUUGGUGUUAAAAUAUCAUUUUGCUUUCUUCUUUCACCUAUAAUAUAUAUCUCGGAUAUAAGUAUUUCUUCUUAAAUCUUGUAUUUUCUGUUGGAUGCAUAUUAUAUGAAAGGUUUACUACAGUUACCAAAAAUAUUAUGGUCCCCGUUUGUUUGAUGAUGGUGUGAAAACUUGAAAUAAUAAUAAUCUUACCAAUUAAAAUUAGAAAACACAUAAUGCAAAAAAUUUUGUAAACAGUUUUGGACUGUGUAUAUAUUAUCUCAUAUUAGCAAAAUUUACAGUGGCUAAAUCACGGGUUACAUUACAUUAGCGAAAACCAUUUAUUUUCUGAAUUAUAUUUUUUUUUAAGCUUUAGAUAUGGAAUAGGUUAGAAAACAAACUUUCUAAAGUUAAAAUUUACUUUUACGUGUACUAACAUUUUUUCUUCUAAGAUUCACGGUUGCAUUAAUUUUUUUAGUUUGUCACUUGUUUAAGUGUCUGAAAACAUUAAUUUUUGUUUUAAUCCGUGACAACACAAUCACUUUCUUCAUUAUUGAGUAAAACAAAGACUCUGAAAUUUCCAUCUCUUCAUUAUUGAAUAAAACAACCUAUCUUUUCCCCCCACACACAGUAUGUCUCCUCCUUUACACCGUAGAAUCAGAUAUAUUGUUUUGGCUUCAUGUCAAAAUUUCUUCAAGGCUAUGGAAAAGUAGUAUCAAUAGGUCUAUUCUUUUGGAAACAUCCAACAUCAAAGGCCAUCACAGGCUGCUCAGAAAAAGCAUAAAAGCUUGUCUUUUCCUUAAUGAAAAAACAAAACGAAAAAUUUAGAGAAACAAGAGAGAGAGUGAGAUUGAAUCUGGACUUCUGAGUUGGACGAAGAAGGAAUUAACAGUGGACUUUAGAGCACCCAGAACUUACAUAUUUUUGCUAGAAUAGAGGUAGGGGAGCUAAACCUUGAAAUUGUUAAAAGGGUCGGUCGUUUUUUUUUUUUUUCUGCUCUUUUUUGAUCGUCCAAUCCUUUCUGAGAAAACAAUCCAGUCCGAUGGAUUGUUGAUCUGCAGAAAAUACUAUGACACUCAAAUCAAAUAUGUCUCAUAAAAAAAUCUUUAUUUGAUUAGGAUAGAUCAAGAUUUUUUUUACCUGGACAUUAACCCUACAUUUAUAGGGCUUAUAACAAUCAAAUCCGUUAAUUAAUCAUCAAUAUCAUAUAUUUGUAAAGUGUAACGUAAUCUGACCCAUUAAUAUCUGCUAAUAUACCUGCUAACUGCUCAUGAAUGACCAUUAACUCCGAUUGAUAUAUUUCAUAUAGUACAUAAGUCCCCCAAGCCCAAGAUAUAGUAGAUCUUUAUUGGAAUAGGUGCACAGGGAUUAUUUUGAGCUUAAGAGUGGUCGCUCAUGUUGUGUUAGGGAGUCUAUUUUCGAUGCACUUUAAGUUUUCAUUCCUUUUUGUACCAAGCAGUGGACUUUAGGAGUUCUCUUUGGAACUAUUCCCUAGACUAAGCAAAAAAUGUUAGGAGUAGUAGACGAUACGAUAGGAGUUCUCUUUGAAACUUUUUCCUGUGCAAGAAUUUUUCACACAAAAAGUAUGUGUUAAACAAAAUAAGGUAAACGCUUCAAUAUUUUAUAAUAUAUCUUUAUAAUGAAAAGGUAUCGGAAAGAUGAACAUAGAUGGUCCGAGCGGGUAGGGACUGAACUUGUUGAGUAGUUGACCCUAGGAGUUCUUUUUAGAACUUUUUCCUAUGUUGAUCAGAGGCACUAGAAGUUCUUUCCUAUGUUGAGCAGAGACACUAGAAGUUCUAUUUGGAACUUUUUCUCUAGGCCAAGUGACGACUGAUGAUAAGAGUUCUUUUUUUAUAACUUUUUCCUAGCGAAGGCACUGGAAGUUUUAAUGGAACCUUUUCUCUAGGCCGAGCGGCGACUGAUAGGAGUUCUUUUUUAGAACUUUUCCUAUGUUGAGCGAAGACACUAAAAGUUCUAUUGGAACUUUUUCUCUUGGUCAGGUGGCGACUGAUAGGAGUUCUCUUUUAGAACUUUUUCCUAUGUUAAGCAAUAGAAGCUAGGAGUUCUUUUUAAAACUUUUUCUUGUGCAAGAUAUUUUCAUUCAUAAAAAUAUGCGUUAAACAAAAUAUUCAAUCUUUUAUUUUUAUAAUGAAAAGUCAUUAGAACCUGACAAGGUUGGACUUUGGUGGUCCAACUGACCAAGCGGUAAGGGAUUGAACCUUCUUGUGCAGGAUAUUUUUACUCACAAAAAUAUGCGAUAAAUAAAAUAUUCAACAUUUUAUUUUUAUAAUGAGAAGGCAUUAGAACCUAAUAAGGUUGAACGUUGGUGGUCCAAUCAACCAAACGUUAAGGGAUUGAACCUUCAUGUGCAGGAUAUGCAUUAAAUAAAACAUUCAACAUUUUAUUUUUAUAAUGAGAUGACAUUAGAACCUGAUAAGGUUGAACGUUGGUGGUCCAAUCGAUCAUUGAACCUUCCUGUGCAAGAUAUUUUUACUCUCAAAAAUAUGCUUUAAAUAAAAUAUUCAACAUUUUUUUUAUAAUGAGAAGUCAUUAGAACAUGAUAAGGUUGUUGGUUGUCCAACUGACCAAGCGGUAAGGGAUUGAACCUUCCUAUACAGGAUAUUUUUACUCACAAAAAUAUACAUUAAAUAAAAUAUUCAACAUUUUAUUUUUAUAAUGAGAAGGCAUUAGAAACUAAUAAGGUUGAACGUUGGUGGUCCAAUCAAACAAACAGUAAGGGAUUGAACCUUCCUGUGCAGGAUAUGCAUUAAAUAAAACAUUCAACAUUUUAUUUUUAUAAUGAUAUGACAUUAGAACCUGAUAAGGUUGAACGUUAGUGGUCCAAUCGAUCAUUGAACCUUCUUGUGCAAAAUAUUUUUACUCACAAAAAUAUGCGUUAAAUAAAAUAUUCAACAUUUCCUUUUUAUAAUGAAUCGUUAGGAACAUGAUAAGGUUGUUGGUGGUCCAACUGACCAAGCGGUAGGGAUUGAACCCUCAUGUGCAAGAUAUUUUUACUCACAAAAAUAUGCAUUAAAUAAAAUAUUCAAUAUUUUAUUUUUAUAAUGAAAAGCUAUUAGAAUCUAACAAGGUUGAAAGUUGGUGGUCCAACUGACCAAGAACCUUCCUGUGCAUGAUAUUUUUACACACAAAAAUAUGCGUUAAAUAAAAUAUUCAACAUUUUAUUUUUAUAAUGAGAUGGCAUUAGAACUUGAUAAGGUUGAACAUUGGUGGUCCAAUCGACCAAGCGGUAAGGGAUUGAACAUUCCUAAAAGUUCUCAAAACAAAAGACAUGCCUUUAGAAAUUAUUAUGAAAUUUUUUGCUCUUGUUGCAAAACCUAGUAUUGAUCUGAAGUAGCGAUGUCGAGACUGAGCGUGUGUCUGGUUCCUCGUGGUUUCAUGGGAAUGUCGCUCAGCCCCACAGUGGGUGCCAAAUGUUUCGAUUAAUAUUGUUCGAGGUUCGGUCGUCCUUCCUUACUCUGCUUUCUUUCGGUUGUUCAAUCAUCUCCGAGAACGCAAUCCACUCUGAUGGGUUGUUGACCUACAGAAGACACUCCGACGCGGAUAGAUCAAAGUUCUUUUACCUGGACAUUAACCCUACAUUUAUAGGGCUUAUAGCAAUCAAGCUCAUUAAUUAAUCAUCAAUACCGUAUAUUUGUAAAGUGUAAGACAAUCUAAUUCAUUAAUAUCUGCUAACUACCCAUAAAUAACCAUUAAUUUCAAUCCGUAUAUUUCAUACAGGACAAAACCAUUUCUUUACUCAUUGUAGAACUUGUAUGAUUUCCUUGAAUUGCAUUCUGUUGCAUCUUGAAUGAUCGGUAGAGAUGCAUGUCAUAUCUUGAAAGCUGGUCAUGAAUUUUAUUGCUGUAGGAUAUACCCGUUGUUAACUCUGAUAAAUAUGAUACAAUCAUAAACCUAGCUGAACAAGUGUUACUUCACGGUUCUACACAAAGUGUGUUUCUAGUCAUAUGAUUGUCGCAAGACGAUGUCUUUCUUUAGUUUAUGGUUACGCUUGCUGACUUUGGUUGGGAGGCACGAAACAGUUUGGCAAUAGAGAAUAAUCGAAGGUUUGGUAUAUAGAACCAUUUAUUCCAUGUUAUCUAGCUUUGUAUUUUAUUUAUUUGGCCAUAAUUCAUUAUGCUUGUAGUUAAUUUAAAUCAUUUUGACUCUGCCACAUGUCGUAGCCCACUAAGUUUUGUUUCUAGCAUGCUCUCUGUUAGGUACAAUUAUAUAGUAUAAGUAUUAAUAAAAAAUAAGACUGAACUAAGACUGUUUUUCUUUCUUUUUAUCAAACGGUGCAAAGGUUUAUUGGUUUAAUGUAUCUGAAUAGUUGGCUUCAAAGAGCGUCUUGCAAUUUUUCUUUUUCUUUUUUUAUAUUUUCUUUUAUUAAAACUGCACAGUUUUUUUAGAGCAUGGGCUUGUUUAUACAAUGAUUUUUAAAAUAAUAACAGAUAGGCAUGCAUUAUCAUAUGAGUGGAAUUUUUUUUUAUUACAUUAUUCCCUUGGCCAGAACUUUUGGCAUGAAGGUGAUGAUUAUUCACACAAAGUAUUCUUUAAUUAGUAUAAGGGUUAUUUCUAAACAAUAUUAUUUUAAUGAAUACGUGUAGAAUCAAGUGUGUGUUUCUAUACAAUGGUGGAAAUUGUUUUCCUUACUUUAAUUUGAUAAAAUAUGUGUUUCAAAAUGGCUGAAGGAAAUUCACAGUUGUAUAUUGUGAGUGGACUAGGAAUGAUUCUUUUGUGCAGCAAUCUGCCCAUGCAAAAUGAAUGAGACUUGCACCCCAUUAAACAACCUUUUCCCUUUCUACAACAUAGUAAAAAGGUCGAAUUUUAGAAAUUUACUGUGACCAGUACAGAGGUCCAAACAUUUCGAGUUAGUAGUCAUUGAAAAAAAAAUUUGAGUCUACAUUUCAAUCCAAAAAGAAUAAUCUCUUUGGAGUUAGGUGUAGAAAGCUACAAAUAAAACAAGUACCAAAGGUCGGAAAUGGCAGACAAUGAAAAACGUUAAACUUUAAAGAAUUUAAUUGUACUUGAUGAAAUGUUUAAAAAUUACGAGUGAGUAGUCAUUGAAAAUAUUUUUUAGUCUAGAAUCCAACAAAACAAAAAUAAACUCAUUUGAAGUUCUGUAAAAAAAAUAAAUAAAACAUUGAACAAAGGUCGAAGUUGACAACACUUUGUCUUGAACGUGUUUUUGGAUUUUAAUGCAAAUUGACAUGUGGUUAGUUUCUUUGAGAUUUGAUAGAAUAGCCUUGAUGAUUCUCUAGUUUUAUCGUGAAUAACCAGGGGAGAUUUAUGUUUUAUCUCGGUAGUUAAAAGAAUAAUUCCUUUUACCUGUGUAAGGCGAUAGGUGGAUUCAAGUCCUGCUAUUUUCCUAUUUCGAGGGAAUACAAAUAAAUGUCUCGCUAUAGGUUUAUGUCUCGUACUGAGUAUUGUGUUUGGUGAAUGGAUGUUACUUACCAAUGUUUUUACUCAUAAUACCUUGAAGAAUAAGGGAGAUACGUCUGAAGUUGCGUGUGGAGGACGACUUUAUCCACGGUCCAUAUGAGGGACCGGUUUUGAUAUAUGUCUAUCAAAUGUAAUUAUAGGAUAGAACCGAGAUAGGUCCAAUAGCUAAGUGUGAAGGACCAGUGUCCAUUAGGUGUGUGUGAAGGACAAAAAUCGAUAAGUCUAAUAUCUAAGUGAGAGGGAUGGAAAAUGGAGGGAGACUCGUGUUCAUUUAUUGUUAUUAUACGAUACAAUAUCAGGGGAUAACACUUAAUGUUAUUAUUAGAUGUUUGAAGUGUGAAAAUAAGUUUAUUUAUAAUUUAUGUUUCUCUAUACUUGGUUAGCUCACCCUAUUUAUAUGCCUACGAUGAUCGUAUAACUCAUGUCGUUAUACGGGAAUAGAUAAUGUUUCAGGUAAAGCUGAAGAAGUUUAGUGCGGGGAUGCGUUGGAAAAACUCUAUGGGACUUUUAAAAUAUGUAUUUUAAAUUGUGAAAUGUGUGUUUUGUAAUUCUAAACAGUUUUUAAGAUUCGGUCUAUAUUUCAAUAAUUAUUCUUGAAAAUUUUCAUGUUAUUAUUAUGUAAUAAUAUUAAAAGUUAUGACUUUAAAUGUCAUCGAAUAUUAUGUAAAUUUUUUUGUGACACUCUAAAAAAGGGUGUUACAUAAGGUGUUAGACGCGUCUGAGUUGUUAGACCUAGACUGUCUUCGGUGUUAUACCGUCUAGGGUGUUAGACUAUUUGGGUUGUUAGACCGCCUAGGGUGUUAGACGCGUCUGGGAUGUUAUACCGUCAUGGGUGUUAGAUGCGUUUAGGGUGUUAGAUCGUUUGGGGUGUUAAACGCAUUUGGAGUGUUAGACUGUCUAGGGUGUUAUACUAUUUGAAAGUGUUAGACUAUCCAGGGUAUUAGACAUGUCUGGAUUGUUAGACCGUCUGGGAUGUUAGACCAUCUUGGGUGUUAGAUGCGUCUAGGGUGUUAGACGGUCUAGAGUGCUAGAGGGUCUAAUGUGUUGGAUCGUCUAGGUGUUAAACGUGUCUGGGUGUUAGACGCUUGAUCAUCUAGGGUGUACAAGACUUAAACAACAAGAUCAUUUCAUUUUCAAUAUCUAUCUUUAACCGGUUCAUUCUUUAAAUCUUCAAAACUUCUCUAAACAUCAUCAUCAUUAUCAAAAUUCUUUAUUAAACCCUCUUCUUCUUUUUCUAGUAGUUAUACAAUAAGUCGCCUGGGGUGUAACAGAGUUGUUAGACGAUGUGGAUGGAUCGCCUUAGGGUUAGGCUGAGUUGUUAGACGAUGGAUCAUCGGUUAUAAAAUGUUUUAUAAUUUACUUGUGGCCUCUUAAAAUGGAGUAUUAAAGAAGGCGUAGAGAGCUUAGCCUUGGAGAAGCUUAGCCGAAAGAGUUCAUAGAGCUUGGUUGAAGGAGUUUAGCCAUGGAGAUUUGGGCUAAAUGAGGUCAACCCUAAGAGAUCGGCUGAAAGACCUCGUCCUUUGAGGAGCUCUACCUUGGAGGAGCUUGGCUGAAGGAGUUCAGAUAACUUGGUUGAAAGAGCUCAACCUAGAGGAGCUCGAUCUCGGGGAGCUCAGCUUAUGGGAGCUCAGCCUAGUGGGAGAUCGGCUUGGAGGAGCUCGACGCGGAAGCUCGACACGAAAGUUUGGCCUGGAUAAGCUCCAUCUGAGGCUGCUAGACCUACCGAGCUUGAUCUGAAGGACCUCAGCUUAGGGAAGAACUCGACUUUGGGGAAAGUUGGGCCAAGUGGGAGAGCUCGGUUGUAAGGGAGAGCUUGGCCUUGAUGGAGAGCUCUUGGAGAAGAAUUUAGCCUUGAUGUAGAGCUUAGCUUGGAGAGCUCGAGCUAGAGAGCUUUGCCUGAAGAGCUCGGCUUGGAAAGCUCAACCUACAGAGCUCGGCCUAGAGAGCUCAACCUAUAGAGCUCGGCCUAGAGAGCUCAACCUAUAGAACUCAGCCUAGAGAGCUCAACCUAUAGAGCUCAGCUUGGAGUGCUCAACCUAAAGAGCUCAGCCUAGAGGGGUCGGCCUAGAAGAGGUCGCUCUAUAAGAGUUCUGCUUAAAUAUCUCGACCCUAAGAGCUCGAUUAGAGGAGCUCAAACUGGACAAUUGGGCUUGGGGAAUUCAAUCUAAGUGAACUCAGCCUAUGAGAGCUUGACUUGAAGAAGCUCAGCUUGCAAAAGGUUGGCUUAAAAGGAGCUCGGCCUAGGAGAGCUCAAUUGAUGGAGUUUGAUCGGGAUAGCCUAGCUUGAGAGUUCAACCAAGAAGAAUUUAGUUCAAGAAAGCUCGAUUUAAAGGAACUCGAAUUAAUAAAACUCAUCUUAGACAACUUAACCUAUAAAAACUUAACCUACAAAAAUUCAGUUUGUCAUAAUUCGAUCUAAUUGAACUUAUCUAAAAGAGCUGAUACUUAAAAACUCAAAAACUCAGUAUAUAAUUAAACUUAUUAAAAGAACUAAUCGUGAAAAAAUUAACCAAACAUACAUACAAUACAAUUAUUUUAAUAAUGAGAGUUAUAAGUAUACAACUUAGUUUUUAUAAUAUCUAAUUACUUACCAAUUUCACUACUUUAUUAUUUUUAUAUACAAAAUAAAAACGAUUAUUAAAAAAAAAAAAAUGCAUGUGAGUGGGCUGAGAGAAACAAAGAAGAGAAAGAGAUAGAAGCUUAUUUGGGAGGAACAAUCUUCCUUUCUUUCAUUUGUUUUCUUUCCGCAAUUGUGACUCCAGUACGUGACACAAUUAUCAAAGUUGUCAUGGGCAUAACAUAAAGCACCAACACUCAAAAUCAGAAACCAUACAUAACUUUUCAUCGUUACACUCCGAAUCCUCUCCAAUUUUUUAUCUUCUUCUUCUACGAUCACGAGAACACAGCUCCAGGAUCCACUUCAUUUUCACUCUUCAUAGACCCAACCAUCAAUGUUCGUCUUCUCGGCACCGUCUAACCCUUGCCGCCCUUGCCUUGGCCCGUUCGCUUCUCCUCUCGGCGCCCCUUCAUAGAGUCGCCGCGCACCCCCUCCGUUUCCGGAGUCGAUGAGGACAAUUCGCCUCCGAUCUCAGGUAAGCCCGAUCCUCUCCUGACCUUGCUCUGUAUCCCCUGUUUUAAUCCCUUUAUCUUUAUAGUUUGGUCUCUGUCAGAUUCACUGCUUAGAAUUUUGUUUGAUAAUAGUUCGAAUUUGGUGUGUUCCGGAACUUGUGUUUUGGGUAGAUGUGAUUUUAGUCUGUACCUGUUUUUAUGAAUUCUGUGAGUUUUAUGUGGAAUCGAAGGAAGCCUUUCUAGAAUGUUGGUGACAAGACCUGUUUCCAAUGGGAGGAAGGACGUUUUUGGUUGUUGGAGUGAGGUUCUGGAAAAUCAUUGAUUGAUUGUGUAACUGGUUUCAUUGAUGAAGUUUAUUUCUGCUCAUUAUGGAUUGUAGUGGUCGGAUUAAUAUAAUAUAAUUUUGGGUUUUGCUCUAUUCUUUUUAUUCGUUGGUAGCAUGUUUGUGAUUGUUUGAUUGUGAAUUUUCUGGGCUUGUUUCCAGUUCAUGUUCUUGCGUUUUCUGAGUUCAUUUUGUGGUGGUGUGACGAUCCUCGAUUGCAUCUGCUGUUUCGAUUCUUUUGAUGUUAAUUGCAUUUGAUUGGGGUACUCUUUUGAUGCUACAUAGGUGCAGUGGUUUUGUUUUGAUAUAUACACGACCGUGGGAUUCGUGCUUCUUAUCAUAAUCUUAGUCGUUUUUUGUUUUUAUGAUGCUAAUAAGGGUUGUACAUGUAUAUGUGUGCCUAUGACUGAAACGAUUGAAAUGAUAGUGAUGUUGUGAAAUAUAUAAAUGAUAUUAAAUUCUAUAUAUGUGAUAAAUGUUGUAAUUUGUGUAAGUUAUAUGAUAUAAAUUGAUUAUAUAUUUAAUUUGAAUAUUAAGAAAGUCACUCAAGAAAUAUGGGAAAGAAAUUGUUGAUAGUUUUUUAUUUUGAUCCAAAUUAUAGUAACACAUUCCAUACUAAGAUUUUGGUCCAUUAACAGAUUAUAAAAUUUAAUAAAGAUCAUUUGUUAAGUUUGUUUAAUUAUCAUUUAUAAGAUGCAUGAGACGAUAAAUAGAUAUCAAUAACUCAUAUUUUCUCCAUGAACAUUAAAUGAUGAUGAAUAUCUUAUUUUUUUCUUUUAUAAUUUUUUUUAUUACAUGUAUUACUAUAAGAUUUUGUCAUUGGAAAAUUUCACCAACUUGACUACCAAUAUUUUGUUACAAAAAUCUUUCUAUGACAACAAAAGCAAAAUCAAUAAAGUUCAUUAUACAUGGUCUAUGAUCAUCUAACAAAUUUUUUUAUAACCAUCUAAGAUAAAGUUUUCAUUUAAAUUUAUGAAUAAAAUAAUAAUUUAAUAUGAUAUUAAAAAUAUGAUACCUAUUAUUUUAUAUGGUGGUGAAUACGAUAUAAAUAAUAUCAUUAGAAUUAAAUUUGGAGAUUCUAGAACUCUCAGAUUCUCUUGUGACAAAAUAAAUUUCAGUUACUGAUUUGGUUGUUAUAUAAAUAAAUUUUAUUAUAGUUGCUAUUUUGAUAAAUUUUUUUAUUGUAACAAAGAUUAUAUUAUUUAUAUCAUAUUCAUAAAAUAAAAGGUAUCAUCUUUCCAAGAUCAAAUCAAAAUACUAUUAUAUUUAUAAAUUUAAAUGAAAACUUUACUUCAGUAUUUUUUUAAUAGUUCACUGGAUUUAUAAUUAGAUGGUUGAGAAAAGAAAUUGUUAGAUGGCCAUAAUCCAUGUAUAGUAAAUUUUAUGGAUUUUGCUUUUGUUGUCAUUGAGAUAUUUUCAUGACAGAAUCUUGAUGUCUAGUUUGUGCAAUCUUCUAAUUUACCAAAUUCUCUAGUAGUAUAAUAUAAAAAAAAAAAAAAAACACUAUGUAAGCAAAAAUAAAGAUAUUCAUUAUAAUUGAAUGUUCAUACGAAAUUAAUGAGUUAUUGAUCUUUAUUUAUAGUCUUGCAUGACCUAAUUAAAUAAACUUAAUAAAUAGAAGUCAUUAAAUUUGGUAAUGUGUUACAAAAUUUCAUCCUAGAAUGUGUUAUUAUAAUUUUAUCGAAAUAAAAGAACAAUUAUAUCAACAUAAUUUCUUUUCACAUUUCAUUGAUUUUUUUAAUAUUUAAAUUGAAUGAUAUAUAUAUAUAUAUAUAUAUAUAUAUAUAUAUAUAUAUUAUCAUUUUCAUUUUAAAGUUAAAUAAUUUAAACUUAUGAUUUAAUUUUUAAAAUUCUAAGACAUAAUGUUAAUAAAGACCCUAAUCAACUGUAAGCCUAAUUCAUGCAUAAUGUAAGACAUAUGCCUUGUUCUUUGUCAAAAACGAAACAAUAUUAUUGAAAAUUUUUAGUAAAUUCAUGAAAGUAUGCUAAAUUUAUAUCCUUGAAAACUAGUUCUACUAGUAAUAUAAUAAAUGAAAUUACCAAAUAUCUUAGACUUAAUUUAGAAUACAGUUAGCGUUAUUAAAUUUAUACCAUUGAAAAAUACAAUUAAAUUAUUACUGUAUUUAAUCAAAUAUAUAAAUUUUUGAACAUUAAUAUUAAGAAACUAUCUCAAGUUCAAAAAUAAUUCCAGUUAGACUCUCAAGUGAAUUGUACCAUCACACAACACCUAAAAACACUAAUUGAAAAAGUUGAAAUGCACAUUAGAAAAAUAAAUUAAAUAUUGGUUUAGACUAAUUAAAAGAAUUAUAGUAAAAUUUGUCACACCCCAUUUAAUACCCCUCCUUAGUGGGGUACACAUGUCAAACCGUCCGAUCUUCCCUGAUAAGUGGGAGACCAACUCUGCUAGUAAUUAAUUCCCUUUCCCCGUGAUCCGUGUAAUAGUAGAAGGAAUGUGAACUUCCAGGAAGUGGAAGUCAGGUGGCAAGCUGGGAAUGGGCUGGACGUUCUUAGUGGAGGCAGUAUUUAAGGUGAGAUUGAAACCUGACGCCACUUUUCUCAUGCAAACUUUCUUCUUCCUCAAACUCCAACUUCCUGAAAACUCAAAAUCUCCUUCUUCUCUCUAAACUUCCCAACUUUCUCUCUAGAUUUCUGACCUUCAUUUCUUCUCCGAUCACUUGCAUCCAUUCAGGGUUCUUACUACCGGCACCAAGCCCUUCAACUUGCACCAAUCCAAACCUCAUUCUGAACUGGUAAGUGUUCCGGACCCUUGAAGUUACUUGGUCUUCUUGCAUGCAUGCACCAGUAAAGCUUGCAUGUAACUGUUAAACCAUUUCUCUGAACCUACUUUUGUAUUUAAUUCUAGAGCUUUAGAAACCUUAGAAGAGAUAGUUGCUGCCAACCAACAUUAAACGUACUAGCUGGAAUUAGAGGUAAGGGAAGCUUAUAAAGUUUAAUUAUGAUUUCUUUGUAUGGUUGGUUGCUGGAUCUAAUGUAUGUUUGAUGAUUUUAAUGGCAUGAUAAAAAUGUGAUAUGUUAUUGUAUGAAUUGUAUGAUAUGUCUGAGUUUAAAUUCUGUAUUUAGUAUGAACGGAUGAAACUUAGAGAAAAUAUGAAUUUGUGAUCGAAGGUCAUUAGGAUCAUUCGGUACUCCCCUUUUUACCAUCCGGUCCAUUCGGACGGUUCGGCAUAGUGAGUUUACUAAAUUCAGUUUGGUUCAUUUAAUAUUAUUAUUGAUAAUUACUUAAGAACGUUGGUCAUAAACCAAGUGUUCGGUCUUACAAGUGUUCGGCCUUAGGCUAACACUUAGUUUAUGAAGCAUUUGAAUUUAAUAUUCUUCCUAGCCUUCGACCAUGUUAAGAGCGGUCUUAUACCAAUACUUAAAUCCUUAAAAACGUUCGGUUUAUAACAUUCCUUGCCAGACCGUCCGGAUGACUAUCACUUAUAGCCCAUCCUUUGGUGUCCGGUCUUAUUCCUUGUCGGACCAUCCGAUCACUAUUAAUCAUAAUUCAAUCUGUGGUAUUUAGUCCUGUUUAUUGCCGGACCAUCCGGUCAACUAUUCAUAAAUCCUUCUAUGGCAUUUGGUUCUAUUUUGUGUCAGACCAUCCGGUCCAAUCUUCUUGUUUACUCAAAUCUCUCAUUCUAUCAUUGACCGUCCGGUCAUUUUCUUAACGUCCUUCUUUUGUGAACGUGAUAAUGAACAUUGAUUGAAUUUGGCUAAGUAAGGGAAUUCCAAUGGAGGAAUGUCUCAUGAAUUGGUGAUGGUUGGUAAAGUAUGAACAUGGUCAGACUCUGGUUGUCGUCCUGAUCCUGAUAUUCCGUGAUGACGCUUUCUCAUGUAGAGAAAGGUUACUCAUGUGUGGGAAUGACAGGAGGUCCGCGGUCAUAAGAUCAGAUGAUCAUUGUAGGACCAACCUCGGGUGGCAGUUGAUAGUUCAGGCAACUACUACACCACACCGGGUGCUAGGGACGUCGAGCUACGUGGUUCAUACCGUCCGGACAGUGUCUUAGUGGUCGGUCAUGAUUAAAGGAACGUAGUAUGCAUGUGUAGUAAUUGUGUGUAUGAAAUGUUGAUUGGUUUCGGUUUGUAUGUUUACUUGUAUGAUUGAAAUGAUUAAUUAAAUUUACAUAAGCUUACCCUUAUCUGUCCUGUCUUUGUGUAUGUUGUCGUUCGGUAUUUGACCGUCCGGUUAUUCCCUUCAAUGCAAUGAUCAUCCUUUUGGGUGUGAGCAGAGGGUAUCUUGGAGGACACCUUAGAGGAUACCUUGGAAGAUGUUGUGCAUGUCGAGCAAGCAGUGGAAGCCAUGCCGGAGAGCUGUGUCGGACCGUCUGGUCCUUAGAAUAGUUUUCUUUCAUCUUUUAGUAUAGAUAACCGUCCGGUUAUGUUUUGUAAAACCGUUCGGUCGAACUUCUAAAAUCUAUAUUCAGCCUUCACUAUUGUACAGUUUUAAAAUUUCAGUGUUAUUUCUACUUCCUUCAUCCACCUAUACUUAUUCACCACUGUUCUCACUUAUUAUUCAUGUUAACUCCUAAAAUGGAUUGUAACUUCUGUUAUAUAUUUAUUGGGAUGUUACAAAAUUAACAAAAUCAAAAACUAAAAUUUAUUCCAGAAUUAAGAAUUCUGUAAUAAAUUUGAUUAAAUGGAAUUAUUAAUGUUAAUAUUCAAUAAUUAGUAUAUUUGAUUAAAUACAAUUAUAAUUAUAAUUUUAUUUUUCAUGAAUUUAAUAAUGCACCAUGUUUUAUAAUUUAAGUCUUAGAUAUUUUGUAAUUUCAAUUAUUAUGUACAUAAAUUUCUUUUUAAGAAUAUAAUUUUAACACACUUCCAAUAAUUAAUUAAAUGUUUUCAGUAAUAUUGUUUUAAUUUUUGAAAAAGAGCUAGAAGUAUGUCCCUCAAGCUUUACAAGCAUGGAUUAUGUUUAUGAUUGUUAGGGUCUUUAUUAGCAUUUAUGUUAGGUUUAAGUAUUUAAAAAAAAAUGUACUUAAAAUUAUUUAUUCUUUAAAGUUAAAUUGACUAUAUAUAUAUAUAUAUAUAUAUAUAUAUAUAUAUAUAUAUAUAUAUAUAUUCAAUUUGAAUAUUAAGAAAGUCUCAUAAAAUUUGAAAAAAACAAUAUUGUUGAUAGCUUUUUAUUAAGAAAGUUAUAGUAACAUUAUUCUAGAAUAAAAUUUUGUUCAACUAACAAAUUACAAAAUUUAAUAAAGCUAAUUUGUUAAGUUUUUAAAAGAUAAAUGAGAUUAUAAAUAAAGAUUAAUAAAGCUGGUUUGUUUAAUUAACAAAUUACAAGAUGAUUUGUUGAAUUAACAAAUUACAAAAUUUAUAGUUUUAAUCGAUUAGAUUAAAACAGAAAAUUGGGCUUAAUCUAUUAAGAAAUUAAUUUAAUCGAUUAAAUGUAUCAAUUUUUAUAUUAUAUUAUAUAUAUAUAUAUAUAUAUAUAUAUAUAUAUAUAUAUUCUAACUUGUUUUAAUUACAAAAAGUUGUCUUUAAACAUUUUUGAAGUACAACCAAACAUUUUACAUUUUGAAAUCUGAAAGAUCUAGAAGGUUCCAAGAAGAAAGGAAGAAAGUGGUUACAGGUUUCCAAGAGGACUGCGGUGGUUUUCAUAUGUGAGAUGUGCACAUAGUGGUGUAUCCAGAUUUUGUUUUUUUUGGUAUAAAUUUUGUAGUUGCCUUGGCUAAGGAGGCAAGGUUGUGAGAGAGAGAGAGUGAGUGUUGGUUGAGUCUCUUUUGUUUGUAAUUCUUUGUAUUAAAGUGUGUAAGGAUACAUUUGAAAGUUUUUUUUUUUUUUAAUUUUUUCAAUUAAGGUUGUUGAAGAAGAAUUAGAUAUAGACUCAGAUUUUGUUAUAUGAUCUUAUUUAAAUUUCUGCAUUUUCUUUUAUUGAUUAAAAUAUUUUAUAAACAGGUUUCAAGAACUUUAGUUUUUCAAAGAAUUGUUAAAAGCUAUUUUAAAUCCAAUUUAUCUCUUGAAUUUAGACGGACAUGAAUGUUAAUAAAGUUUCUAAUAAAUCAUAAACAUACUUCAUGCGACGUGUAAAACGUAUGCUUUUUUUUAAACAAUAUUAUUAAAAACUUUUAAUUAAUUCAUGAUAGUAUGCUAAAUUUAUAUCUAUGAAAAUCAGUUGCAUAACAAUUGAAACUAUAUAAUAUGAUAUUUAAUUUAGAACACAAGGAACAUUAUUAAAUUCAUGCCAUAUAUUUCCUACAUGUGACAUUCUAAUUAUAUUCCAAUUAUAUAAAAAGGGCAUACAUAAUUAAAACGUCAUGAAUAAUAUUAUAAAGCAGUUAAGAAUAGAAUGAUAGUUAAUUAAAGGAUUAUAGUCAUCCUUAAAACAAUAUUUAGAAUUUGGAAAUGGAGUACUAAAGUUCCUCCCUGGAAAAUACAAGGGAUUAAAACUUAGAACAUGAUAAGUUCUUCAAAAUAAAAGGCUAAUCAAGUGAAGCCUGGUGGACUAAACUGCAAGACUGCCAUCCCCGUCAAGAGUUGUUUCCAAGCUAACCUCCUCGUCAUCUACUCUCAUCCAAGUGAAUGAACAUCGCAAAAGAAAACAAUGCAAACAUGGCACAAACACAAGCAAGUAAGGGUGAGCUAAUUAUAUAAAAAGCAUGCAAUUAUACCAACAUGAACAUACUAGAUUCAACCCAAGUAAAGUAUAUACAAGCAAGGCAAUAUAUACAACACAGGUCCUAACAUGUUAUCUUUUAGACUUGACUCGUCCAGACUUUAGAAUGAUAGUCGAGCUAUGGCGAGUCAUGCACCCGUGGUGGCUUGUGAUACUUAGGCUCCCCCACCUUGGGCUCCCCCGCCCUGCCACACUCACGAGGUUAGUUUGUUCCGCGCCUUGGAGCAUGAUGGAAACCUCCAAGACUAAGACCUCCUACUACUCCUCACCACAUGGUCAGCCUUCUCUACAUGAGAAGAAAGACCUUUGGAGCGUCAAGAAGACCCCAAGACUGAGCUCCUACUUUCAUUCUAAAACACUAAAAAUCUCACCAAGAGAUUUUUACAAUUAAACCACCACCAAUAACCUUGAAACCAUGUUUAUUUCUUUCCCUAAUUCAUAUACCUUUAUGGUCACAUACUUUCAAGUUAACAACAUCACCUCAAUCAUAAUUUACAUUGAAAUCAUUCCACAUACAUUUCCAAACAAUAACAAACCCAGAAGAACCACUAAACACCACAAGAUCUCGUAAACUCAUACUUAGACAAAGAAAACAACUUUGAAACCAUCACCAACAGUUUCAGAAGGGUCAAAACCCCCCAAAACAACCUAAAGAACGUCCAAAAAUGAUACCCGAAACCCCGAAAACCACCAAAAACUGUUAUGGAUGAUUUUUAGACAACAAUAAUCGAUUAUCAGAUGUAAUAAUCGAUUAUCAUAUGUAAUAAUCGAUUAUCAUUUAUAAUAAUUGAUUAUUUACGAGAACUUUGAAGAAAAUAUGAUGUUAUGACUAGGAUAAUCGAUUAUCAAGUGAGAUAAUCGAUUAUCAAGUGAGAUAAUCGAUUAUCAAUUGAGAUAAUCGAUUAUUCUUAUCAGUUUUUUACAGCAAACUGAUUUUUUUCUAGUUUUGGUGCAUCUAAAACAUAUCCAAAUGAACAAUUUAAAAUCUGUAAGACUAAUAUUGAUAAGAAACAUAUUUAUAGAUGAAAGUAAAGUAUUGCAUUAGUUAUUUCGAUAAGAAUUAGAUGUACUAAACUAACUCAAAUUUUAUUCCCAACAUCAAACUCAAUAACUAGAGGACCCCAAACUCAAUUCUAACACUUUGUCCCUAUUUUGACCAAUUUGGUGACUCAAACAAGUCACAAUUCACUUGCUAAGACUGCCCCAACAGUCCAAGUGCACUCAAAACCCCAAAUGCUUAAAAUCACCCUCUCACUUCCCUCCAAUCCACCUAUAAUGUGUUCCUAAUUAUUAAUCUGCUUAACUGAACAUCAUAGAGAUCUACCCUUUUUCCCCCAAUCCCGCUUACACCUCAAUUGGUCACCGGAGAGAAAAUAGAUGUCUGACGCAUCAGACUCACCUUCGGCACCAGCACAUAUGACUAGUCACAACUGACUGGACCAGGCCAGGGCUACUCUAUGAUCAGGGAUGUGCCAGCUCUGAUUUUUAGGUUUCCUCUAUCCUACCAACAAAGAAGGUUCCUAACAGGUUCAAUUGACUUAUUUAAAUUAUCCUAGUUGCACUACAGUGUUCUUAAGCCUCAAUUACCCCUAGUCAGUACUUCACUUCCCCUCACAGAUCCUAAAAUUCUACACAGCCCAUACCCUUCAUCAAAUCCUCAGUACAAUCAAAUUUCCAGUAACCACAACAUGUUCAGCAUGUCAAUUUCCAACAUCCCAUCCAUUCAAAACAAGCCAACACAUACAAUACCAAAUCCACAGGUUCAUGCUUAAUAUUCCAGGGCAUAUCAUCUUACAUUUACAAAAGCAGCAUAUUUUCAUAUCAACCAUUACACAAACCAGUUCAACAUAUAUUCCCAUCAAUCAAAAUACCAAUCAAUAAGCAAUAUAUUUAUCUAUAUAGUUAGCUCCUCUUAUCUUUUUGGUGCUCAACACAGUUCACAGUACAUGCCCCAAAAGUACCCUUACAGUGCUGGACUCACAGAACCUACAAUCACCAAAUUGGCGAUAAAGUAAUGUCCUCAAAGUUUGAAUUGGCAGGAAACACAAGGGAAAGUAUGCUAGUAGCAAGCAACCUGUAAAGUUGCAUGCCCUAGACAUCAAAACAGUGAAGGGAAAGGGGGAAGUCUACUUACCCGAUGAAACGCGAAACCAAUCGGAUGGUUCUGUAGCUCUAGACUCCAGGAGCAAGGAAAUGUCACCAAAUUAAUAUUCAAUCGGUGGAAAUGGCAGGAAACCUAGAAAGAAAUCAGAGCACUUGAGUUAGGGCAAGGUUUCUGUUCUAGAGAGAGAUGAAUCUAUAAAAUGAAAUCUGACUUGCAAGGAAAGGACCUCUCCCAAGAUUCAAGUGUCCUUGAGUCAAUGGGCCUGGCUUGUCAAAUUAGAGCCCAAUAGCCCUAUAAUUUUUUUUAAGGCUCUUACACUACCCACAACUCUAUAUAUAUUAGUAACAUAAAAAACUUGUAACUCGUCACAUAGUCUCUAUUUUGUUGUGUUGACCUGGAACAGUCUGUGAAGAAGUUGAGCUGAUUGGUUGACUCGCCACCUAGAGAACCUGGAAACACAUUUGCAAAGGCUGGAACAGAUUGCACAUGAUGUUGACCUGUAACUAGCAGUUAACGAGACUAGCUAUGGACUAUUCCAAUUAAUAGGUUUCUUCCUAGGCUAGAGUAUAAAAGACCAAAAUCAGAAAACUUAAAAGAGUUUGUUUACAAUUCAGUUCACACAGUUUUGGAAUUAUUUUUAGUUAACUAUGUUAGGUUAGAAUUAGGAUUUUCAAUUCACUAAUUUCUUUUAUUAAAUUCUUUGUUCCAUUAAUUAAUUAGGAUCAUUAUAAACAUGUUUUCGCUUUCAUAUAGCCAAUUUAACCAAUUCUGCAUAGUAGAAUAGGAUUUACAUUGUGUUGUCAGAUUAACUAGUUGAUUCCGGAUUAAGAAUUCUGGAACUCAUCCACCUGUAUUCCGGAAUGCACUUUUAAGCUUCCGAAUUGCUCACUUUUUGUUAUAAUAUAACCCUUCUUCUUCCAGAUGCUUUCCACUGCUCCACCGCCACAGUUCUCAACACUCCCACUCAAUCUAUAUUGCAAACUCACUACGGUCACACUUAUCCGAUUUUAAAGAUAUAUUUAAGGAUUACGUCUUUCAUUUAACCAUUUUUCUAUAAAAGAGAGAAAAAUAUGCAGGACAAAGAUGUUUGAAAGUAAUCAAAAUUCUUUUUGUUAUAUGAUGAAAUUCUGUAACAUUCUCCACACAAAAAGACAAGAAAAUAGUUGUUUUUCGAUGACCACGUGUGGUGAGUUCAGCCUCAUGCCAGAUGCAAAAAUGAAAAUAAAACUUCUCAGCCAAAGCCUUUAAAUGCAAAUGCAUCCUUAAAAAACUAUACACAUUCAUAUAUCAAACUCAUUAAUUAUAUCUUCGUUUUAGCAAACAUGUGGUCUGUGAUAACGGAUCCCAUCAGAAACCUUUUUGCAAAUGUUCUUCACCAGUUCGUCCACAAAGACUUCCAUGAAGCAGUGGCCAAAAUGACCAUAAUAGAUGCUUUUCUCUUCAUUGUAUACACACAAUUCCUUCUACGUCAUAUUAUCAUAACAUGAAUAGAUGUUACAUUAGUGAUAGUAUUAACUAUGACAUCAUUUUCAAAGCAUUAAUUAAGUUGUGAUCAUCACGAAAUGAGUCUGUUUCAUGCAGAUUGUUCAUUCCAUUGACAAGCUGGGGAUAUGGCCUCGUCUGCCUGUUUUCUUAGGGCUAUUGUAUCUGGCUAUCAGACGACACCUUCACCAAGAGUACAACCUCUUCAACGUUGGAACAACACCAACUGGGAUUAGGUUCAGCCCUUCAGAUUUUCCAUACAGAACAGCUGAUGGAAAAUAUAAUGAUCCUUUCAAUGAAGUUGCUGGCAGCCAAGGCUCUUUCUUUGGCAGAAAUAUGCUCCCUGUUCAUCAGAAGAAAAAGGUCCACAAUCAUACAUAUAUAAUGCUAGUUAUAAUUUCAUAAAAUAUCAGCGUUUCUACUACUAGAUGAACUUAUAGUUUGUUGACUUGUUCCUUGAUGAUUGUGAAUUUUGAAGGCAUAGUUUUGUGUGUGUGUGCAGCUAUUGAAGCCUGAUCCAAUGGUGGUAGCCACAAAACUACUAGCCAGGAGGAAAUACAAGGAAACAGGGAAGCAAUUCAAUGUGAUUGGAGCUUCUUGGAUUCAAUUUAUGAUUCACGAUUGGAUCGAUCAUCUUGAGGAUACCAAACAGGUCCUAACUCUAUGACACUGUAACCAAUUUCUAAAACUUAUUUCAAUAUUACUUUUAAAUUUCAUGUAUAAAAAUAUUUAUAUUUGUCUAUUAAAAAUAUUUAUUUAUGUGAUAACUGCACAUAAUGAGCUUUUUUAUUUAGAUAUACAGUAGAAGAUAUUUAAUUUGUUCACGGAAUUUUGAUACAUAUAUGUAGAUUGAACUCACUGCACCAAAAGAAGUUGCAAGCCAAUGCCCUCUAAAAUCUUUCAAAUUCUUCAAGACUAAGGAAAUUCGCACUGAAUUCUAUGAGAUCAAAUCCGGAUCAUUAAACAUUCGAACACCUUGGUGGUAAGAUUUCUACUGCACUUUGCCUGAGCAAAAAGUUAAAAGUUAACGUUGAUAAGUUUAUCAUUCAUACUUCUUAUGACUGACUAAAUUUCAGAAAAAUUAGUUUUUAAAAUGCGGAUUAGAUCUCACCUAUAUAUUGUAAUAGAUUUCGAAAGAAAUGGAAAAAGGUUAUUUGACAUCAAUUUGUCCUUUCGAAAUGUCCUUUAGGAAUGUACUUAGCAAUGAUACUGACAGAACUUAUAAUUUGAAAAGUAGAAUUUAAAUUUAAAGACUGCAACUUGUGUAAUGGUUUGGCUUUUGGGUGCCCACGUACAUGCAUGCACAUAUUCAAUGUAAGGGGACACGAUAAUGAUCACAGGUAUCUGUACAAAAUAAGUAAUAGAUAUUAAUAACACUUUGAACUUCAAAGGGUCGGCGAAAGUUCUGUGAUUUGGUUAUACGUAGGUUGUCUUACACUGUGUCAAUAUCUUUGGUGGGGUGGUUUUGACAGUAAUGGCUUAUAUUGUGACUCAAGUGUAGUUUUUAAGUUUAUGAACACACUGAGUUGCCUGAAAAAAAAGAAGAAGACAUUUCCAUUAAGUGAGGAUAUGGUCGGUGAAAUAGGGAUGCAAGUGCUGUGUAUGGAAGCAAUGGAGAAGUUUUACAGAAAGUGAGGACAUUCAAAGAUGGAAAGCUAAAGAUAUCAAAGGAUGGAAACCUUCUGCAUAACGAAAAUGGAACAGCAGUUGCAGGUGACGUCCGCAACAGUUGGGCUGGUGUUUCAACUCUGCAG
This 27034-nucleotide long non-coding RNA is filed under the name Vigna radiata. RNAcentral describes it as "long non-coding RNA (VRAD_LNC000036)". The record is from RNAcentral. Lineage: Eukaryota; Viridiplantae; Streptophyta; Magnoliopsida; Fabales; Fabaceae.